Molecule: ribosomal RNA, 722 nt
Filed under: uncultured soil bacterium
Lineage: Bacteria
Description: bacterial SSU rRNA
Rfam family: Bacterial small subunit ribosomal RNA
Source: RNAcentral
CGCUGGCGGCAUGCCUUACACAUGCAAGUCGAACGGCAGCACGGGAGCAAUCCUGGUGGCGAGUGGCGAACGGGUGAGUAAUAUAUCGGAACGUGCCCAGUCGUGGGGGAUAACGCAGCGAAAGCUGUGCUAAUACCGCAUACGAUCUCUGGAUGAAAGCGGGGGACUCGCAAGAGCCUCGCGCGAUUGGAGCGGCCGAUAUCAGAUUAGCUAGUUGGCGGGGUAAAGGCCCACCAAGGCGACGAUCUGUAGCUGGUCUGAGAGGACGACCAGCCACACUGGAACUGAGACACGGUCCAGACUCCUACGGGAGGCAGCAGUGGGGAAUUUUGGACAAUGGGCGAAAGCCUGAUCCAGCAAUGCCGCGUGCAGGAUGAAGGCCUUCGGGUUGUAAACUGCUUUUGUACGGAACGAAACGGUCUCUCUUAAUACGGGGGGCUAAUGACGGUACCGUAAGAAUAAGCACCGGCUAACUACGUGCCAGCAGCCGCGGUAAUACGUAGGGUGCGAGCGUUAAUCGGAAUUACUGGGCGUAAAGCGUGCGCAGGCGGUUAUAUAAGACAGAUGUGAAAUCCCCGGGCUCAACCUGGGACCUGCAUUUGUGACUGUAUAGCUAGAGUACGGUAGAGGGGGAUGGAAUUCCGCGUGUAGCAGUGAAAUGCGUAGAUAUGCGGAGGAACACCGAUGGCGAAGGCAAUCCCCUGGACCUGUACUGACGCUCA